CUGAAACGCAACUGUAUGCAUUUAUAUAUUAGGAAGACCGAUCAAAUUUCUCUCUUUUGGCUCGCUUGCUCGUUCGCAGUAGCUUUUAUUAUGUGGAAUUCGGUUGUAUAGCAACAAUGUCCUCGUCAUCAAUGCGGCAACUCGACUUGGAGGCGUGUCCUACUACAAAGGAUUUCGUCCUCAACCAUGAAGAUGAGCACCACCAACAACCGCUCGAAAAUGAAUCUGAUCCCUUUGAUAUUGCUCAUACCAAGAAUGCUCCUCAUAAGACUCUCA
RNAcentral lists this unclassified non-coding RNA (276 nucleotides) under Hevea brasiliensis (rubber tree). The record is from RNAcentral. Lineage: Eukaryota; Viridiplantae; Streptophyta; Magnoliopsida; Malpighiales; Euphorbiaceae.